UACAGAGGGUGCAAGCGUUGUCCGGAAUCACUGGGCGUAAAGGGCGCGUAGGCGGCCCGGUAAGUAGGGGGUGAAAUCCUGCGGCUUAACCGCAGGACUGCCUUCUAAACUGUCGGGCUCGAGCACGGUAGAGGCAGAUGGAAUUCCCGGUGUAGCGGUGGAAUGCGUAGAGAUCGGGAAGAACAUCAGUGGCGAAGGCGGUCUGCUGGGCCGUUGCUGACGCUGAGGCGCGACAGCGUGGGGAGCAAACAGG
This 253-nucleotide ribosomal RNA is filed under the name uncultured bacterium. RNAcentral's name for it is "partial 16S ribosomal RNA". It matches the Rfam family "Bacterial small subunit ribosomal RNA", at positions 524 to 776 of the family's 1533-position model. The record is from RNAcentral.